GAGGGGGAGAGCAAGGAGCUGGGGGAAGCAGACUGCAGGGAGACAGCGCCUGGAACCCCCUCCCCAGGGACCUGGCCCUGGGCCCCCAGCCCCAAAAGGGGCCCUGCCCUCCUCGGGGUCGCGCUCUCUUCCCCCCCCGCCCUGCCCCCGCCCUCCAGCUUUGUGUCCCCAGGAGGGUGGGCUGCAGGAUUUCCAGCCAAGCCUUGGCUGCCUGCUCAGUUUUUCCAAACCCUCCAGUUGGAGAAGGCGGGAGCCUUGUCAGGAUAAGAGUCCCUCCCCCUCUGCCCCUGCCGGCCCCCUGGUCCAGCUUGGAGUUUCCUGUCCCCGCAGCUUUCCAAACUCCUUUCCCUUUCCGACCCUGGCCCCAGCGCCCCCUAGCCCCACCUCUGUUGGUUCCCAAGUUCCAAGUUCAGGUUGGAGGGGCCAGGUGGACGCCACAAUCUUAGCGAGGCGCUGGUAAAGCCUCACUCUGCCGGCCGACCCAGAGACCUGCGGGGCGCCGGCCUGACUCCCGGCCUGGGCCCGCCCCGUCCCAGGACUCGGCCUCUGGCCACCAGGGAAGGUGGCUCUUGGGGUCUCCCGCUCCCGGAAGGAGGCGGUGCCGGGGACGUCCGCACAGCUGGGCGGUAAGAUAGAAACUCAUAUUUUCCCAGUUUGAGCUCGGGUUCCGUAUGAAGCUGAAGAUGCUCUUGAAUUGAUCCUCCGGCCUUCACUUCCUGUCACGGUGAGGCCUUCUUCAUUCAGGGCUUACACCCCUGCCCCUCAUCUGGACCUCCCCGACCUUGCCCAGUGUUCAGCUCCUGGGCCCAUCUACCCAUUCGGUCAACAGUCACUGAAGCCCUCCUGUGAACCUGAGCAGCACCCAGGUCAGUCGUGCAAGGAACACAGAGACGACCGGAAGUUAUGAUCUGAGUCCUCGGGAAUCUCGUGCCAGCCAGAUGUACAGACAGGAGGAACGACACAAAUAUGGGAGUCAGUACUCUGGUGGGUGGCACUGAUGUGACAGGUGACGGGGAACAGAAGACACCAUUUGCUAGUGUUCUUUGUGAAGCAGUCAGUGCUCGCUGGGCACUGGUUGAUUUCAUUCGAGGCGAGGGGGCGGUGGGAUAGAAGGAAGAUGGCCUGGGAGAAGAAGCCUUGAGUUCUAGUUCCAGGUUCACAAUUCUAGUUGUGCAACUCAGCAAUUCCUUAAGUCACACAAGCCUCACUUCUCAUUUAUCCCUUCCUUGUAAAUCCGUGGUGGUAACCAUUGAGAUAAUGUAGGCAAUGCUUUAAAAAA
This 1279-nucleotide long non-coding RNA is filed under the name Mus pahari (shrew mouse). RNAcentral's name for it is "lncRNA (MGP_PahariEiJ_G0004255.1)". The record is from RNAcentral. Lineage: Eukaryota; Metazoa; Chordata; Mammalia; Rodentia; Muridae.